GUGAGGGAAUGGUUUUUCGAUUGACAUAAUUUCAGUUUUAUAAUUCUAUAAAAAGAAAAGAAAAACGAUAAAAAUGCAAGAACCCUUAAUCUCUAAACUCUUCCUUCCAGU
RNAcentral lists this microRNA precursor (111 nucleotides) under Gyrodactylus salaris (gyrodactylosis fluke). RNAcentral describes it as "microRNA gsa-mir-9393 precursor". Lineage: Eukaryota; Metazoa; Platyhelminthes; Monogenea; Gyrodactylidea; Gyrodactylidae. The record is from miRBase by way of RNAcentral.